UACGAAGGGGGCUAGCGUUGUUCGGAAUCACUGGGCGUAAAGGGCGCGUAGGCGGCUUUAUAAGUCGGGGGUGAAAGCCUGUGGCUCAACCACAGAAUUGCCUUCGAUACUGUAGAGCUUGAGACCGGAAGAGGUAAGUGGAACUGCGAGUGUAGAGGUGAAAUUCGUAGAUAUUCGCAAGAACACCAGUGGCGAAGGCGGCUUACUGGUCCGGUUCUGACGCUGAGGCACGAAAGCUAGGGUAGCGAACGGG
Molecule: ribosomal RNA, 253 nt
Filed under: uncultured bacterium
Lineage: Bacteria
Description: partial 16S ribosomal RNA
Rfam family: Bacterial small subunit ribosomal RNA
Source: RNAcentral